CCUACGGGAGGCAGCAGUGGGGAAUCUUGGUCAAUGGACGAGAGUCUGAACCAGCCAAGUAGCGUGGAUGAUGAAUGCCCUAUGGGUUGUAAACUUCGUUUAUAAAGGAAUAAGACGAUGCGCGUAUGCCUUUUUGCAUGUACUUUAUGUAUAAAGAUCGGCUAACUCCGUGCCGGCAGCCGCGGUAAUACGGAGGAUCCGAGCGUUAUCCGGAUUUAUUGGGUUUAAAGGGAGCGUAGAUGGGUUGUUAAGUCAGUUGUGAAAGUUUGCGGCUCAACCGUAAAAUUGCAAUUGAUACUGGCAGUCUUGAGUACAGUUGAGGUAGGCGGAAUUCGUGGUGUAGCGGUGAAAUGCUUAGAUAUCACGAAGAACCCCGAUUGCGAAGGCAGCUUACUAAACUGUGACUGACAUUGAUGCUCGAAAGUGUGGGUAUCAAACAGGAUUAGAUACCCUUGUAGUC
This 460-nucleotide ribosomal RNA is filed under the name uncultured bacterium. RNAcentral describes it as "partial 16S ribosomal RNA". It matches the Rfam family "Bacterial small subunit ribosomal RNA", at positions 338 to 795 of the family's 1533-position model. The record is from RNAcentral.